RNAcentral lists this ribosomal RNA (93 nucleotides) under uncultured bacterium. Its description in RNAcentral is "partial 16S ribosomal RNA". It matches the Rfam family "Bacterial small subunit ribosomal RNA", at positions 1390 to 1482 of the family's 1533-position model. The record is from RNAcentral.
CCGCCCGUCACACCAUGAAAGUCGGCUGUACCAGAAGUCGCUGCGCUAACCGCAAGGAAGCAGGCGCCCAAGGUAUGGUCGAUGAUUGGGGUG